RNAcentral lists this ribosomal RNA (497 nucleotides) under uncultured bacterium. RNAcentral describes it as "partial 16S ribosomal RNA". It matches the Rfam family "Bacterial small subunit ribosomal RNA", at positions 28 to 507 of the family's 1533-position model. The record is from RNAcentral.
GAUGAACGCUGGCGGCGUGCCUAAUACAUGCAAGUCGAGCGAACGGACGAGAAGCUUGCUUUUCUGAUGUUAGCGGCGGACGGGUGAGUGACACGUGGAUAACCUACCUAUAAGACUGGGAUAACUUCGGGAAACCGGAGCUAAUACCGGAUAAUAUUUUGAACCGCAUGGUUCAAAAGUGAAAGACGGUCUUGCUGUCACUUAUAGAUGGAUCCGCGCUGCAUUAGCUAGUUGGUAAGGUAACGGCUUACCAAGGCAACGAUGCAUAGCCGACCUGAGAGGGUGAUCGGCCACACUGGAACUGAGACACGGUCCAGACUCCUACGGGAGGCAGCAGUAGGGAAUCUUCCGCAAUGGGCGAAAGCCUGACGGAGCAACGCCGCGUGAGUGAUGAAGGUCUUCGGAUCGUAAAACUCUGUUAUUAGGGAAGAACAUAUGUGUAAGUAACUGUGCACAUCUCGACGGUACCUAAUCAGAAAGCCACGGCUAACUACGUG